Molecule: long non-coding RNA, 26833 nt
Filed under: Ananas comosus (pineapple)
Lineage: Eukaryota; Viridiplantae; Streptophyta; Magnoliopsida; Poales; Bromeliaceae
Description: long non-coding RNA (ACOM_LNC025630)
Source: RNAcentral
GCAUUUUGGGUGGUGGUUAGACCCAAGAGGUUAAGAGAGUUAAGCGUGCUAGGACGGGAGUAGUCCUAGGAUGGGUGACCCCCUGGGAAGUCGGGGCGUCACAGAUGGUAUCAGAGCCAAUUACCAGCCGGAAGUGUGAGAUGAGUCUCGGCUGAGCCAGGGUCUGGAUGACGGGCUAGCGAGAUGAGUCUCACAUCGCCUGGUACUUGUGAGUCUGAGCCUGACGAGGACGUCAGGGCUUAAAGGAGGGGAGAUAGUGAGACCCCAGAUAGUCCUAUAUAUAAGAUAUAAUAGGGCUAAAACUCUUAACCCGGCUUAAGCAUUUUGGGUGGUGGCUAGACCCAAGAGGUUAAGAGAGUUAAGCGUGCUAGGACGGGAGUAGUCCUAGGAUGGGUGACCCCCUGGGAAGUCGGGGCGUCACAGAUGGUAUCAGAGCCAAUUACCAGCCGGAAGUGUGAGAUGAGUCUCGGCUGAGCCAGGGUCUGGAUGACGGGCUAGCGAGAUGAGUCUCACAUCGCCUGGUACUUGUGAGUCUGAGCCUGACGAGGACGUCAGGGCUUAAAGGAGGGGAGAUUGUGAGACCCCAGAUAGUCCUAUAUAUGAGAUAUAAUAGGGCUAAACUCUUAACCCGGCUUAAGCAUUUUGGGUGGUGGCAAGGCCCAAGAGGUUAAGAGAGUUAAGCGUGCUAGGACGGGAGUAGUCCUAGGAUGGGUGACCCCCUGGGAAGUUGGGGCGUCACAGAUGGUAUCAGAGCCAAUUACCAGCCGGAAGUGUGAGAUGAGUCUCGGCUGAGCCAGGGUCUGGAUGACGGGCUAGCGAGACGAGUCUCACAUCGCCUGGUACUUGUGAGUCUGAGCCUGACGAGGACGUCAGGGCUUAAAGGAGGGGAGAUUGUGAGACCCCAGAUAGUCCUAUAUAUGAGAUAUAAUAGGGCUAAACUCUUAACCCGGCUUAAGCAUUUUGGGUGGUGGCAAGGCCCAAGAGGUUAAGAGAGUUAAGCGUGCUAGGAUGGGAGUAGUCCUAGGAUGGGUGACCCCCUGGGAAGUUGGGGCGUCACAUAGACUUCAAGAGAAAUCCGUGGAGCCCAAUUUGACAGAUUUUGGUUGAGGUUAGCUUGGUCGAUUUUGGGUUUUUCUUUACUGCUAAUGUUUUGGUCCUGAAUUUGAGUUUCUUUGGUUGUUAUGGACCAAUUCGUUGAGAGAGCUGGAAUAUCGGCCAGUGAUGAAAGUUAUGGAACCCGAGGAUCUAAAAGGUGAAAACACCUAGAGGGGGGUGAAUAGGUGUAAACGGUAAAAAUCACUAAACUCGAUGCAAAUAUAAUAUAAAUGCGGAAAAUAAAAUCAGCACACCGAGAAUUAACGUGGGAAAACUCCAAACCGGAGAGAAAAACCCACGGGACCGAUCACACAAAGAAAUCCACUAAGAAAACAUGAGUACAAGUAAUUUACCAAAAAUACAAGACUCAAAAUACCGAAUCCUUGUUAUGGAUUAUCUUUGCCAGUCCUUGAUCGCUUGGAAUCCACCAACCGAUCACACUGCAAGUCCUUGCAGCCACACACGCCUCGAUUCCACGAAACGCCCACCAAAUCCACGGUCUUCACGCGAGAUCCACGCCCUAAUGCUCCAUCCGAAGCUCGUAGGGAUUUAACAAUUUGUGGUGAUUUAAGAUCUUUGAAAGCACAUAUAAUAUUAGGAGAAACCCAAAUUAAAACAUCACCAAUUUGAUCCUUAAAGAAGAUUUGAAUAAAGAUCAAAGAAUCAAAUCGGUGCACUAAAGCCUGAUGUUUAAAACAUAGCUCGAAACUCCGAAUCAAGCCGUUAGAGUUUUUAAAAGGUUAUCUCGCUCAACUCCUGUCAUAUGGAGAUCCUCAUAUCAUAUUUAUAGAUUUAGAAGACUUCUAGAUAGACUAGGAUUCCGAAAACUCAAUUUCAAAAACUGACGACGGUCUCAGGGUCCAGUCCUCCCGAGGAGACCGGUCCUUGGGGGACCGGUCCUCCAAGGUGAAGUCCGGUCCUUCGCUGCGUAGCUGUAAAAGCAUGCGUGCGGGGACCGGUCCUCAAUUCAGAGACCGGUCUCUCUCUGCGCAACAAGAAUAACCACCUACGAGAACCAGUCCUCAAGAUCAGAGACCGGUCUCCCAAAACUUCUACGCAGAGAAGCUUGAUGGGUCCGGUCCCUCUGAACAAGGACCGGUCCCUGACCCCUAAGAUUUUUUGAAAACUUUAGUUUGAUCAAAAAAUAGAAACCAAGUCUUCUAAACACCUUUUAACAAUAAAACCUCACCACAAAUUAUUUAUAAUCAUACCAGAGAUCCCAAGGGUCUUUGAUCGUCAAACUCCAAUUCUUUCUUCAACCUUCGUCUUCUAAACCUUCGAGACUCCGUCCAAAACUCCACAAAAGUCGCCAACUUAAUAAAAUCCUUAACAAGUGAAAGUUGUGUCACUAUUUUCCUACUGAUUUGGAGGGUGUUCAUUAUCUGAAUUGAGAAUUUGGGGAUUGAUAGGUGAGUUUUGACAUUGGAGUUGUUGGUUUAAGCUUAAGUGUUGAAAUUUGGGGUUAUUGAUACAACUUUGAUACUUUUGUAUUCAGAUCUUCGGAGGAUAUUGAGUUUGGACUAGAGGGUGAUAUUCCAUCUUGGUUUACUAGUUUUGGGAUCUUGCUACACCUGAUUUGAGAUUGGAAAUGUGAAGUUAGCAUUGUAAUUGAGCCAAUUUAAGCUUAGGUGCUGAAAUUAGGUGGAUUUUGAUGGAUUUUGAUAGAUUUUGGUGUUAGAUCCUUCUAGUAUCUUAGUUGCUGGUUGUGGGUGAUUUCGGCUGAGGCUUCAAGCCAUUCGGACCUUCUUGCUGCUGUGGAGUUGCGCGAAGGUAGGUUAAUCAUCGGUUUUGCCUCCUAAGCAUCGCAUAGUAGACAUGUAUAGUUCAGCUUUUGUAUAUCAUGUUUUAGCUCGAAUUUAUUAAUUAGCAUGUUAAAUGAAAUCUGAAUUUGGAGCGUGCUGUAGUAAUUAAAUAAAUAUACAUAUUGGACUUGAAAGUUGACUUAGGAGAAAACUAGCGAUUUGACCUGUCAUAUGUUUCUACUACCUGAUUUAGCUCUAGGAGCCGUAGUUGGUUUGUAUCACCGCAGUUUCAGCGCAGUGGAUACUCGGGGUAGUUUAGAAUACAUUUACGCUCGUGCGGGAUGCCGAGCUUGGGUAAUAUUCAACUGUAGAUUCUACACAGUCUUUUCUAUAAACUAUCGGUUAGCUCCUUAAGCUUUUGUGCUUCGUAUCCCCGCUGUUAGUGUGCAUUUGAUACACAGAUAGCUUCUGAAGCUGUCGCGGAUAGUAUCCACACUGUUGUGUGCAUUUGAUACGCUGAAAGCUUAGGAGCUGUAGUUGAUCUGUAUCACCGCAGUUUGUUGGCAGUAGAUAUCCGGGAUAGUGUAGAAUGCAGUUAUGCUCUUGCGGAGAUGCCGAGCUUAUUUUUACAGCAGUGUCUAGGCUGUUUCGGACUGUCGGGUGCCGUCAGGGUUGACGGUGGACCCGGAUUGCGGGUUUUGCAUCAGAUUGUGCCGAGAGCACGUGAGUUUUGGUUGUUAGACCAGUUGGACCCUGUUUACUUGAUUAUAACCUGUGAGAGCUUGAUUGAGCUCAGUAGAGAUACGCUUGCAUACUCGGUUGGGUAGCGCCCACGAGUGCCACUCCGGAGUCGGGCUUUGUGCGUUUGCGUUGUGUAGUGUCCUGGUUGGACUUGCUCUCCACGGACUGAUUAAUGUGGAGGUAGCAUUUAGGAUUCGACAGGCGAGACGGGUGCGUUCACAGUCCCUGGGACAGGUGUGUUCACAGUCCCUAUGGAUUUGGGUUUGAGGUUGCAUUACUCUACAGAUAGUAGUGUUGGUUCAUGAUAGGAUAGUGGCAUAUAACUGUAGAUUUGUUCCAACUUUCUUUUCUAUCACUGAGCAUAGAUCUGUAGACUUAAUGGAUGAGCCGAUGAGUUUGAGGGCGGUACCCACUGAGGACUGCUUCUUUUGCAGUAGUUCUCACGCCCAGUUGUUACCCCUAUUUUUGCAGAGCCAUUGCCUUCGGCUGCUGCUGUUAUUGAUUCAGAUCGUGGCAAGGGCGUCGCGAGUUAGAGCCCUUCCAGACGAGCCAGAGCUAGAGGAAUACCAGCUAUAGGUAGUUAUAGUUUUUGGUUCUUUACAUACUGAUAUUGUACCUCGCUGGAACGAGUGUCUUUGUACAAGGAUGAUAUGUAUGAUCGAACCACUGUUUUAUAUAUGGUUUAGUUUCCUAGCAGCUCUAUACUACUGUUUGUAGUAUUGUUUGAUUACAAGUACUUUUACUGUUUCGCUUCGUAUAUAGAAAAAUUCCUAUGUAUACGGCGGGUCUAUUAGCGUGCCCGGGGAAACGAGUAAUCCGGGGCAUGACAUAGGUAAAGAGCAAAAUUCAACCAUGCGCUUUAUUAUUUAUGAAUUGGUGUGCAAAAUAAUUUACAUUUACAUAUUGAUAUGAAAAAUAAAAUGAAACAAAAUGUGAACUCAAAUUGAUACGAAAAAUUACAAAUGACAUUAAUAUUUAAGCAUAUAAUGAGAUCAACUAAACUUCCAUAUUUGACACAAAUUAAAGUAAGCACACGUAUAUGAGAGACAUACCAAUUUUCAAGAUUCAAAUAUAUAUAGAUUGUCACGCCCCGGAUUACACGUUCUCCGGGCAAGCCGACAAAUCCGACGUACACAAAGAAAUUUUCUCUGUAUACGAAGCGUAGCUGUAGCUGUAACAUAUACAAGACUACAACCAGUAGUAUGGAGCUGCUCAAAAAAACUGGUAUAAACAGGAACAAGUUUCAUAUACAUACAUACAUCCAGGUAUACAAAAAGCUCGCCCAGCGAGAUACAACGAGUAUGUAUAAGAAACUCAAAAACUAGCACUACCUACAGCUGGUAACCUCUAGAACAGCAGCAACUGGGAAGGUCUCUAACUGGCAACGCCCUUGCCACGAUCAGUCUCCGAGGAAGUAGCAGCUGGAACGGCAGGCUCUGCAAAAAAUAGGAUAACAACUGGGCGUGAGAACUACUGUAAAAAUAAGUAGUCCUCAGUGGGUACCGCCCUCAACAUCGUCGGUCCACCCACCAAGUCUACAGAAGGAAGCAAAGAUAGUAGGAAAAGCUGGAAGAAAUCUACAGCUAAAUGCCACUACACUAUCCUGCUCUACACUAACCAACUAUAAUAAAAGUCAAUCCUGACCCAAUCUCACUAGGAACUGUAAGUAUACCCGUCCCUGGGACUAUGAACACACAUGUCCCGCCCGGUUGUGACUAUACAGCUACCUCCACGCUAAGCAGUCAGUGGAGAGCGAGUCCAACCUGCACGAACGACACCAACGCAAAAGUACAGCGCCCGCAUCCGGAGUGCCACUCGUGGGAGUUACCCAACCGAGUAUGCAAGCAUAUCUCUGUCGAGCUUAAUCAGGCUCUCACAAGCCAAAGUCAAGUGAAUCAGGUCCAACUAGUCUAACAACCAAUAGGUCACAUGCCCUCGGCACAAUCUGAUGCUAAAACGGCGAUAUGGGUCCACCGUCAACCCCGACGACACCCAUCAGUUCGGAACAAUCUGAACGCUACUAUAAAAAUACACUCGGCAUCCUAGCACGAACGUAAUUGAAAUCUAAACUAUCUGGGGUAUCCACCACGACGAUACUGUGGCGAUACAAAAUAGCAACGGCUCCUAAAGGUAAAUCAGGUAGUUUAAACAUAUGACAGGUCAUAAUCGCAGUUUUCUCCUAAGUCAUAUCCAAGUCCAACAUAUGCAAGUAGAUAGUCACGGUAUUAAGCUUCGAUUCAAAUUCUACAUGUAAAUAUGCCAAAAUUCAUGAACGGAGCAAUCUCUAUCAACGAAUCAACACAACAAUAAUACAUGUCGACAAUCUAUAUACUUAGAAGAUAAACCGACGAUUAACCCACCUCAAUAGCUAAACCCAAUCCUGCGCGACGUCGGGAACGGCGGAAUCGCACCCUUGCCCGGCCUCCUCGCGACGCUACGACGACAAACGUACACUCGAACGGCACCGCGGCGCGACGUCGACGACGAUCCACACCACCCGAGCUCCAACGACAACCGGUCCUAGCUAGAGAGAGAGAUGAGAAGAAGAACAAUAUAAUCUCUCUCUCUCAGCUCUACACAUGCCUAAAUAGAGAGGGAGGGGAUGAGUAACAUGAGCGAGGUGAAAAAAGACCAAAAAGUCCUCUUACCUACCCAUGUAACGACCCAGCCCACUAGCAAUAAUAACUCGUUGGGCCCAACAACCGGCCCAAAAUGCUUAAGCCCAGUUAUUAUUACUAGUGUCUAAGUCUCUUAUAAACCCAAUGACAACCCCAUUUCUAUUCGAUGUGGGAUUAUUGGGGUGUCACAACCCAGGUGUACCGGUACACGAGUAGUUGUACCGGUACAAAUGGCAACCCGAGAGCAGCUGUGCGAAAACAGGCGAAAUGUACCGGUACACAUCCGAUGUUGUACCGGUACAGAAAGUGUACCGGUACACCUCUGAUGUUGUACCGGUACAACAAGCAUGAAAUCUGCAAUUUACAGAUUCUAAUGCUAACUUCUACUCUCGCGUCCCCACUGAGUCCGUUUUGCGUCUAUUUCGCGCCAACGCGACUCGGACUUGUCCCGACACCCUCACGACGUGUCGACAAGUCUCUACUGCUGUACACUAGGGAUGCCACAUAGAUGUUGGUCUUUAAGAAAAUAUGAAGGAAAAAAAAAUUUUGUUGCAUGAAGAUGAAAAGUACCUGCUCCAAUAAUAGUAUAGAUAAAUUGUUAGAUAAGUGAAAUGAUAAAUAUCAUAAUAUUAGUGAAAUUUUUCAGAAAAAGAUCUAAAUUUAUUUAAAAAAUAAAAUGACAGAGUUGAAUUGUUAAAAAAUUAUAAUUUUUGAAAUAACAUAAAGAAAAAUAAACCGCUUAUAUUAUAGAGAACCACCAGUUGAGAGAAUUGAGUUGAAAUUUCACUAAGCACCAUAAAUUGACUUAGUUCUCCGCUUAUAAUCCUAAAUUUUAUUUUUUAAUGUAAGUGAACAAUAUAUAUAAAAAAAAUAAUAAGGUUAUUGGUUAACUUACUUAUUUUUGAACUCUAAUAUUUCUGAUAUAUCAGUGUUGAUCAUCAUCUUAGUUGCAUAAAGAGAGUUUGAUAUACUACGUUGACCUAUGUUGCCCAUAGAUAUACAAUAAUUAGUAUAAUUAGUAAGAAUAUAAUAAUAUCUAAAGUUUGAAUAAAUGAGAUAGCUGCAAAGUCUUUUAUCUUGCACCAUUGCAUUAUAAUUAUGACAGGACCUUCAUCUCCUAUUUGUCUAUAAGUAUGAAGUUUUUCAGCAAACCUUCUCCACAAUGUGUAACCCAGCUUCUUGUUGCUAUAAGUUUUACAGAAAAAAAGUACUAAAUGACCAAAAGAUAAUAAAAAGAAGUAUUAAAGAGUUGCUAUCCUACUUAAAAAAUAUAUAUAUACAUAUAUAUAAAUUAUAUAUACAAAUUAAAAGGACCAUUGUACUACAAAUGCUACUUAUAAAACAAUUCAUUUUAUAUCAUAUAUAUGCCUACUUGUUUUUGGUUUAUAUUUAAUUAGAUAGAUAAUUUUUAUAUUUAUAUUUAUAUUAGCAAGAAAACUCCAAGAACAUAAAGUACCGUUAUUUAAGAUGUAGACAUGAGUGUCGUAUUAUAAAGUUAUCAAAUUGAUAAAUACAAUAUACUUUUGUUUUGGAUAAAACUGUCAAUCUAGUUAUUACUUUAUAAUAAUAAACAGCUAACUGAACAAAAACAUAUAAACAUUCAAAAGAUAUAUUUAUAAUUAUGAACACCUACUUGUCAUCCUCAAGUAGAAUCAUAAUUUUUUUUGUUACUUUACCGUCCUUGCAGCUUUCUUCCGUUCUACUAAUUCCAGAAAGCUUCCCAAUGACAUCUGAUAAAUUAGAAAAAUAAAAUGUAAGAAUUAAUAUAAUAGGUACACAUAUUAAAAAUUAAAUUUUAAAAAUCAAAUAUUUGAUACAUGUAACAACUCUUACCUACUAAAUAUUUGUCAUCAGCGACAUUAGCAAGUAUUUCAUCAAAAGGAGUAAAUAUAAAUGCAUACUUUGAUAUUGUCAAAAUAUCUUCCAUCUCACGUACAACCGUAGAAUAUUGAAAAUUGAUUUUGUAAGGAUAUUUAGUGGUCUUGUAGGAGCCACUGCUCUGCCCCACUCCAAACUGACUGAUUACAUAAACUUUUUAUUCGGUAAAAAGGCCUUUAAAUUUGUUUAAGAAAGCUUUUCUUACCGUUGCAUGUAUCAUAUCUCUCUAAAAUAGAAAAUAAACCAAUUAUGUAGUAUCUUUUAUUAAAAACAAAUCAAGUAAUAUUUCAGCAAAUAAAAGUUGUAACAUCCUAAAAAUUAUAAGUACUCUCAAGUCAUCAUCACCCAUUUGACGUGCAUCAUGUAACAUAUGCCUUCAAUAGAAAUAAUGGUUUUCACCAAAUAUCAUAAUACAGUAAGUUUAUAUGCAUGUAGGGACUCAUGUUACAUGUAAUUCAUUCACAAAAUAUUUGGGUCAUAUCUUUUGUUAGUGAAAAAUCAAAAAAGAAUGAAAAACUAAGUAGCGAUAGUAGGUUUUUAUAUUACAUGAAAACGUAUGUUCAAUUUGAAAAUAACAGUCGUAUCUUACAUUUUGAUCAGAAAGAACUAAAUCUAGGCUAUUCACCACCUCUGGACGAUGAAAUUCAGACAUAGUAUAUAGACAAAUCACUCUGACUUUGAUCUUCUAUUUGUCUCCAAGAGGAGUGAUGUCACUUAUAGAAUCAAACCCAAGUGUCAUAUCCUGAGAACUAAGAAAAAAAGUUAAUACUUGCUUUGUAUUUAAGUAAUAAAAUGAAAAUAAUAUGUUCUAUUUUAAAGCAUCAAUAUCUAAGAACUAAGAAAAACUGCUCAAUAGAUACUUAACUGAAAUGUGCUGAAUAAUAUUAAAACAAAGAGAAAAUUACAGAAGGAGUGAUAGUAGGGAAGUGGCAUGUAAUAUUAAUUGUAUAUAUAAUUAUAAUUUGAUUUAAUAGUGUUUAAUAGUGUUUCCUAAUAAAAUUCUAUUUAAUUGUAUAUAUAAUUAUAUUUAAUUGGUAUAAUUUGAUUUAAUAGUGUUUUCUAAUAAAAUUCUAUUUUUAUUAGAUCUAAUUGCUAUAUUUGAGUUUGACAUGUAGCAAGCAUAUAGAAAGAUGCAUGAUAAACAUUUAAUUUGAUUUAAUUUGAUUUAAUCGUGUAUAUAAUUAUAAUUUUAUUUAAUAGUGUUUAAUAGUGUUUCCUAAUAAAAUUCUAGUUAAUUGUAUAUAUAAUUAUAGUUUGAUUUAAUAGUGUUUAAUAGUGUUUCCUAAUAAAAUUCUAGUUAAUUGUAUAUAUAAUUAUAAUUUGAUUUAAUAGUGUUUAAUAGUGUUUCCUAAUAAAAUUCUAGUUAAUUGUAUAUAUAAUUAUAUUUAAUUGGUAUAAUUUGAUUUAAUUUGAUUUAAUAGUGUUUCCUAAUAAAUAACCUAUUCUAUAUUUGUAGUGUUUCCGAAUAAAAUUCUAAUUGGUAUAUUUUGAUUUAAUAGUGUUUUCUAAUAAAAUUCUAUUUUUAACCAUCUAAUUGCUAUAUUUGAGUUUGACAUGUGGCAAGCAUAUAGAAAGAUGCAUGAUAAAUAUUUAAUUUGCUUUAAUUUAAUUUAAUUGUACAUAUAAUUAUAAUUGUUUAAUAGUAUUUAAUAGUGUUUCCUAAUAAAAUUCUAGUUAAUUGUAUAUAUAAUUAUAUUUAAUUGGUAUAAUUUGAUUUAAUUUGAUUUAAUAGUGUUUUCUAAUAAAAUUGAUAUUCUAUAUUUGUAGUGUUUCCUAAUAAAAUUCUAGUUAAUUGUAUAUAUAAUUAUAUUUAAUUGGUAUAGUUUGAUUUAAUUUGAUUUAAUAGUGUUUCCUAAUAAAAUUGUUAUUCUAUAUUUGAGUUUGACACGUGGCAAGCAUAUAGAAAGACACGUAUCAGUUUUACACCAUAUAUUCUACUUUGGUAUAUAGUAAAUAGAUUAUUUUGUAAAAAAAAAGUGUGUAAUAGUGAAUAUCCAUUAGAAUAAUAAUUUAUCUUAAGUAUGCUUAUCAAUAAUGCAGCAAUACGCUUGCAAGUUUGGAUUAUGAUAGGAUCAUUUGUUUGGAAAAAUGGGUUGGGCAGAGUGUUUUUGUUGUUGGAUGGAAGAAGUGUGACACCCCAAUAGUCCCACAUCGGAUGGGAAUGGAGUGUGUCUUGGUUUAUUAAGACUUGAGCACUAAGUAAUUAAUAACUGGGCUUAAGAUUUUGGGCCGUUUGGCUAGGCCCACGAGUAUUAUUAUUGCAUAGUGAGGCUGGGUCGUUACAUUGGUACAGAGCUGUGUUCACCAGCCGGAAGCUGUGGCAGUCUGGCUGAGCAGGAGUCUUGAAGACAAGGUGGCUGCUUGCCAGGUUGGAUGACAAGGCUUGAGCGAGAGAGUCUAAUAGUCCUGGUGAUUCUUAGGCAUUGUGUGUGUGAUUGGCGACGAGGAACGUCAAGGCGCCUUACGCGGGGGAGUCUUGUGACACCAAUGUCACUACAUCGGAGUGGGAAUGGGGUUGUUCAUUGCGGUUUAUAAGAGCUUGACAUAGCUAUAUAACUGGGCUUAAGCAUUUGGUGCUGUUGGCUAGGCCACGAGUUAAUUAUUGUACAUGGUGAGGUCGUUAAAUUUUGUGUAUCAGGUGUGGAGGUUUUGGUAGGACCGGGGUCAGGGCUCUUUGUUUGAUGCCGUUCAGAUUUUGGUUCGCCCGUUCCAAGACUGAGCAUGUGGGACCGAUGGUGCCGGGCGAAGCAUGGGAGAUCAGUGGCGUUCUGAAGUGGAGGGGAUGGUGAGGGAAUGGUUUACAGAGCAGUGCGAACACAUCCCGCUCUCAACGUGGAGGGAUUACGGGCAAAUGCACUCUAGACCAACAUGCCCACAGGCCUAUUCAACGAACCACUAUUUAUAAAAAUGUAGACCCCAGAUGUCCUAUAUAUGGAAUAUAAUAGGCCUAACUUCUAUAACCCCGCUUAGAAUUUUGCGUGGUGGCUAGACCCAAGAGGUUAGGAGAGUUAGCGUGUAGGACGAUAAGUUCAUGAUGGUGACCACUGAGGAAGUCGGGGGAUACAGAUGGUAUCGAGCAUAUUACGAGCCGGAAGUGUGAGAUGUAGUCUCGGUCUGUAGCCAAGGUUGGAUGACGGGCUAGCAAGAUCGAGUUCACAUCGCCUGGGUAUUUGUGAGUCUGAGCCUGCGAGGACGUCAAGGGUCUUAAAGAAGGGGAUGUUGAACCCCAGGAUAUGUCCUAUAUAUGAGAAUUAAGUAGCGGCUAACUCUUAACCCGCUUAAGAUUGUGGGUGGUGGCUAGACCUAAGAGGUUAGAGAAGUUAAGCGGUGCUUAGGACAGGGAGUGAGUCCCUAGGUAUGGGUGACCCCCUAGGAAGUUUGGGGUUCACAUUGUGUUACCCCGAUAGUCUAUUUAUGAGAUUAUAAUAGGGCUAAACUCUUAACCCGGUUAAGCAUUUUAACGGUGGUGGUAGACCCAAGGGUUAGAGAGGUUUUUUUAGCGUUGCUAGGACGGGGUAGUCUAGGAUGGAGUGACCCUGGGAAGUAAAUGGGGACUCACAUGGAUAUAGAGCCAAUUACCAGCCGGAAAUUUGAGAUGAGUCUCGGUGAGUGAGGGUUGGAUGAAGGCUGCUAGGAGACAAGUCUCCAUCGCUGGUAACAACCCAAAACGUACUUGUGAGUCUGACGACCUGACGAGGACGUCAGGGCUUAAAGGACGGGGAGAUAUGUUGGACUCCAGGUAGUCCUAUUAUUAAGAUAUAAUAGGGCUAACUCUAUAACUCCGGCUUAGCAUUGUGGGUCAAGUCGCAGAGGCCCAAGAGGUAAGCGAGUAAGCGUGCUAGGACGGGAGUAGUCGCUAGGAGGGUGACCCCGGGAGUCGGCGGGUCCACGUGGUAUCAGAGCCAAUUACCAAGCGGUAAGUGUUUGAGGAGUUCGGCUGAGCCAGACGGGUAUGGAUGCGGUGGCUAGCGAUUAUGGUCUCAAUCGCCUCGGUAUUUGUUGGUCUGGCCUGACGAGGAGAUUGGAGAGAAACCACACUACGCAACAAACAACAAACCGAGAAAAAGCAAAACGCAAAUCGAAGAACCAUAGAACAAGUCAGGGCUUAAAGAAGGGGAGAUUGUGAGACCCAGAUAGUCCUAUAUAUGAGAUAUAAUAGGGCUAACUUUAACGCGUUAAGAUUUUGAGGUGGUGGCUUAGACCUAAGAGGUUAGAGAGUUAAGCGUGCAUAGGACGACGGAGUUAGUCUAGGAUGGGUGACCCCUGGGAAGUGGGGCGUUACAUUUAGUAUCAGAGCGGUUAUUAGCUGGAAUGAUGUGGAGAGUCUCGGCUGAGCCAGGGUCUGGAUGACGGGCUAGCGAGACGAGUCUCACAUCGCCUGGUGAUCUUGGGCUGUGUGUGUGAUUGGACUGACGAGGACGUCAGGGCCUUAACGGGGGGAGUCUGUGACACCCCAAUAGUCCCACAUCGGAUGGGAAUGGGGUUGUCAUUGGGUUUAUAAGAGACUUAGACACUAGUAAUAAUAACUGGGCUUAAGCAUUUUGGGCUGUUGGUUUGGGCCCAACGAGUUAUUGUUACUAGUGGGCUGGGUCGUUACAAGAAGAGAGAAAAAAGAUAGAAGAAAUGUAUUAAAUUGAUGCGACCCCAACUUUUCUUUUAAUAGUUUCCUUUUAAUAAACAAGUUCAAAUUCAAAUAUCUUAUUAUUUAAGAAUAUGUCUAGGAAUAGACAAUUAUCUUGUUAUUUAGGAAUAUAUUUAGGAAUUGAUUUAUUUAUGUUAAAUUAGGUAUGAUUACAAGUAAUUUGAGGAUAUGAGCUCUAAAUAAUGUAAUCCGAUAUUACAAGAAAUAAUCAAGCAAUAUUAUCUCUUUUUCCUCAUAUCUUGUCUUCUCUCUACCACUUCUCUCUAACUUUCUACCCCUUAAUUCUCUGUAGGCACGAUCCCCUCGAAGUGAUCGAUUCGGUAUAGUAGGAUUGUUUCAUUUGGUAUCAGAGCUUGUAUGGUCUUGACUCGAGCAAAAAAAGGAUCCUUGCGAAAGAUGGAGAAGGAGUUUGUACGAAGGGAGGAAAUGAACAACGUUGAUACUCGAUUGAACAAACUGGAGAUCGAAGUAAGGUUCAUUAGCGAUUCUACUAAUGAUCUUAAAACUUUAAUUAUCGCUAUGAACACAAAGAUGGAUGUGCGACCGCAAGUUCCGAUAAAAAUAGUCCUCUUCUUCCUACUCCCUUCAAGGAAGAGGCAUUGAUUCCUUCUAUGUAGAACUCUAUGAUGGUGAUACUGUGAAACAACCGUUGUACUCUAAAAUCUUAAGCUGUUAAAGAAUGAUGUUUAUAUAAUUUUAUAUUUAGCACUCCCCCUCACGUCUGGGCUCGAAACUUUUUGCAAGCCCAAGACGUGCAAUUGAAUUAAAUAGGAGAAAAUUAAUUAUGAUAGGGGCCUGACAUGGCUUGAACUCGGGGCCUCGUGUCACAAGACUGGAGUUUCCCCGAUUUGAUGGUGAUGGACUAGCUGGAUGGAUGUACCGAGCAGAGCAAUUUUUUAAUUUUAAUCAAAUACCAGACAUCCAGAGGGUUCCGCACGCAUCUUAUCAUAUGGAGAAGGGAGCGUUACAAUAGCUUCAAUGGUUCGAGAAAAGCUGUGGAGUCAUGGCAUGGGUGGAUUUCGUAGAAGCUCUUUGUACUCGUUUUGGUCCAACUAUGUACACAGACUAUAAGGGAGAACUAACAAAAUUAUAACAAGGUUCGACGCAAAGUGUUCGUGAUUAUCAGGCCCGAUUUGAAAUGCUUGCAAACCGCACGACGGGGCUAUCCGAGGCAUUUUUCAUAAGUUGUUUUGUUAGCGACUUGCGAGAGGAUCUCGAGCAUGAUGUCCGAGCCUUCCGAUCGACAUCUAUCUCUGCCGCAAUUGGUCCUACAGACCUUCAGGAGGAAAAGCUUUUAGCCCAACGACGUCAGGUAAGACCUACCCCUACUAGGCUGAGUAUUUCUACGACCAUAAUCCCUAAAGAGGCUCUCCCACCAAUUAAGCGUUUCAUGCCGGCCGAAGCGAAAAUAAGAAGAGAAAAAGGGCUAUGUUAUAAUUGCAAUGAGAAAUAUAGCCCAGGUCAUCGAUGCAAAACAAAGCAAUUGUUUUUUAUCGAAGGCGAGCCUAAUGAAGAUAAUAUGGAGGACACUCCUGUGGAUAUUAAUACCGAAGAAUUGUAGGCGAAAAUUUCUAUGCAUAUUAUAUCCGGGUCGUUGUCUGCCCAAACAAUGCAUGUGAAGGGCCUUCUUAAGCGACAACCGGUUGCCAUUCUCAUCGACUCAGGAAGCACCCACAAUUUCAUAUAUCGCGAUCUAGCCCAGAGAAUGCACUACCAUAUUGCUGAAGAAAAGCAUUUUGAGGUAAUGGUUGCCAACGGGGAGAAAGUCGCAAUUGGUGGUAAAUGUUUCAACAUACCUAUUACUCUUCAAGAUUAUUAUUUUAUAACAGAUUUCUAUGUUUUCCCUCUCGGUUGGUGCGAUGUGGUACUUGGAGCCCAAUUGUCACGCCCCGAGCCCGAUCCUUUUGGCCGAUUCGAGCGCGUCAAACAGACGCCGAACGGACAGAGUCUCCCCUGCCCGCCCAAGGCUCAAUAUCCUAUACAAAUAGAGUAUAAAUUUUGCACAAAACGGAAGCAUACACAAUGGCUUGCACGAGGGCAAGCAAUAGCCAAUAGUGAAAGUAAUAAACUACACUUUAGGAAUUUAUUUAUAUUUUUGCAUCAUUUCUUUUAUACAUCACAUAUUCCUCAAAACAUAACCAUUUGCAUUGAAACAUAAACCCCUUUUUACAUCAUUCAUUUAACAUGUUCAUCUAAAAUCAACAAAAUACAAAAGAUGAUAACUAAAGGAUAUGCAACUAAACCAAAAUGUGAAACCAACUCGGGUGGUCUCUAACUAUAGAGCGAUACCUUUACCGCGAUCAUCCACCGGCUCGUUUGGUCCCGGCUCUGUGGAAAAUAGGGUGUGAGAACUACAACAAAGUUUUCAGUGGGUUCGGCAACCAACCACACUGACUUUCCCACUAGGUCUAAUCAGGCAUAAUAGAAAAACAGAUAGAUAGAAACCAACUAAACAAAUGCAGCUAAUAUGCCUGAAUAAUAAGUAAUGCGAUGCUCGAUAAAAUACUCAUGAUAAAUGCAAGGUCAUAAUCUCAUUGCCCAAUCUCUUGGCUAACCCAUAGGUUUCGCCCUCAACAACUCGCCAACCAAAUCCCUACUAUCGGAGAGAUACCCGCUACAACCCAACGGGACCGUCCUCUGAGGAGAUACUCGCUACAACCCAGUAUGACAACUCCGGAGCACAUCGCCCGAGGGGGAGCUACCACCCUCGAACAAGGACUUACAGCUGAGUAUGAUCCAAUCCUUAACUAUAAGGAUGUCGAGUCGAAUCCAUUCCUUAUCUAUAAGAAAACAAUGCACAUAUGACCCUUAACUCUAAGGUUGUUAUGUCAUAAUGUCGCUAUCUCUAUUUACUUGCAUUCUUUAACCUUUACUAGUGUCAUAUACACUACUUGUUCUUGUACAUAUGCCACACCUGUUUUCUAAGUGUUACAACUCUAGCAUUCUCGACUCAUCAUUGUCACUUUCUACUUCUAUGUCAAGAUGUCACAUUUGUUUACUAAGUCCACUAAAUUCUUGUCACUUGUCAUGCAUAAAUAGGGUUAUUAAAAUUCUCACAUGCAUUUGAACUCAUAACAUGCAAAAAAGAAGCUUACAAUUACCCUACUAUGCAAUAUGCUGAAAUACAUACAUAUGCUUAAGUAUGACACUUUAGGUAUAAAAAAAAUUCCGAGGUUCUUGGUAUGCACCACCCACCUUAGAUGGUUGAGAGGAUGCUACGGUGAAUUUCUUGAAAUUUUUGAAGCCCUAUUUUUUUCGUCUGUGGCAAAACGAAGCCAAAUUAAGCUUUUUCUCAAUAACUUUAUUUAAACCUUUUCGUAACGUCAAACGGAGUUGUCCCACGCAUCAGGAAUACCCCCAAUUAGGUUUUCUAUAAGGUCAAUUUGCCUUAGAAACUUUUCAGGACAAAAGCCCUAAAUUUGGUGCCCUAACAACACUGUUUGCUCAAUCCUAAGUUUUGAUCUCUAAAAUAAGCAAAAGAGAGCUUAUCCAACAUCUAGAAGCUCAUUUAGAACUAUCUAAACUAUUUCUAGGGUUUAGAAUGCAAGCCCUAAAAAUCCACCAUUAGAGAGUUCCAAGAAACUAGGUUUCAUGUAUUCUAUAGCUCCAAUUAGGUUUCUACACUCAUUAGAAAAUCAAAACCUAGUUUUCUAGGACAUAAACCCAAACCCUAGCCUAAGUUUUCAUGAAAACCUCACCUUGGCCCAAAGCUCUCCAAGGUCCACCUUAUAGGAGAGAUCCCAAACCCUCAAAGCCUCCAAAUCCACCUUCAAAAGCCUUCUCUACUCCUUCUCCUUGCUCUGUGGGGAGAGUUCUAGAGAGAAAAAGAGAGAAAUAAGAGAGGAGGUGUGUAGUGGCUGUGGGAGAGGGAGAGAGGAGUGUUGGGGUUAUGUAUAAGGUGCUACAAUUACCAAAAAUCCCACCACUUAUUCAUAUGUGUAGCAGUUUUCAACCUGCUAUCGGGCCCAAAGUGUACCAGUACACUUUAAGGUGUCACCGGUAACACGAUCGCGUAUAGCCAAACCUGAGAGCAGCUCCCUCGGGUUUGGAGCAUUUGUACCGGUACACUUUUAUUUUGUACCGGUACACUUGUCUGUACCAAUGACAACUCGAUGGUUGUACUGGUACACAUUGCCUAGACCUGAUUUUUUGCUCCGUUUCGAUUCUAUUUCGCGCCGAUUUAUGCCAAAACCUUUCUAACACCUCUUAAACUCAUUUUUAGCCCUUCCAACCUUGUUGAAAUGCUAAAUGAAACUUGUCCAACUAUUUCUUUCGCAUUUUUCACUUUUAAAUCGCGCCGAGUAAUGCUAAAACUUGUUUAACACUCUCGAGACUCGAUUUUGACCCUUCCAACGCUGUUAGAAGGUCAACUGGAGUUUGUCCAUCCAUUUUCCUCGGCACUUUAACCAAUUUGGCUAAAGUUCGAUAAUCGCUAUCGGGGUUUCGAUACGUUACACCAAUGGCUUCAUACUCUUAGACCUAUUCUUUGGGAUUUUUCAAAGCUUUCUAUGCAGUUUACAAUCAAUGGUCAGCAGUAUUCAAUCAAAGGAUCAAGAGCGCCAGCAUCGCAGAUCAUAAGCAAUAUUGUCUCUUUUUCCUCGUAUCUUGUCUUCUCUCCACCUCUUCUCUCUAUCUCUCUAUCUUUUAAUUCUCUGGAGGCACGAUUCCCUCGAAGUGAUCGAUCUGGUACGGUAGAAUCAUAUCAUAAAUGAAUAUAACAGUAUACGGAAGAAAUAUGUGAUUUACGUAGAAACCGUCUGGUUAUUUUUAUUAAAGCUUUAAAAUGAUGAAACUGAUUAUGUGGGAAUUAGUUUUUGAAAAGCAGCUCUAAAUUGUUUCUAAUUCUAGUGCCAUAAAAAUCAGUUUUCUAAUUCUGAAAAAUUGAAUUAGUUUUUUUAAUGAUUGCUUUCAAUCUCUAUUGAGCCAAAAAUCACUAACACCCACUAUAAGAUAGAAUUAUUUUUGUAUUUAUAAUUUGGCUAAAUUAUAUAAAACCUUCCUGUCAAUACCCACUUUUUGACUUCCCCCCUGUCAUUCAGAAACCUACACUCUGCCCCCUUAUAAAAUAUUUAUAGGAGGGAACGGUGUGACAAAAUGACCAAAUUGUCCUCAUUUUUUUCGUCUCCUCCUCCCCAAUCUUGCUCAUCCCGAUGGCGGAGGAGGGUGAGGGCGUGUGUCUGGGCAUGGACAAAGGGGUGCGCGAGGGCGCUGCAGCGGAGGGCGAGGUAGCGGCCGAAGGCAUGUGUGUGGGCAUGGAUGAGAGUUUUAGGUGUAUUUUGGGUAUAAAAAUCCUAACAGAACACUGAUGGAGUGAGCCGAAGUGAAUAUUUUUUAUUUUUUAAGGGGGCAAAAUGUAGAUUUUUGAAUGACAGGGGAGAAAAGUAAAAAAAUGGGUAUUAACAGGAAGGUUUUCUAUAAUUAUAUAAUGAAUCCUCAAGCAAGCAGGAGGGGCUAGAGUCUGUAUUUUUUUUCUAAUUUUAAUUAUUUUCUCUCUCCACUAAUUUCGACUGAGUGAAUUGGACUUAUGUUUUUCUUUUAAUCUAAUUUACUUUUUCUAUCAUUAUACAACAUUUAAAAUAUAUAAUAUUUUACACAUAAUAUAUAUCUAUCUAUAAAUAUAAUGAAUCCUCAGUUUCUUGAGCCUACGUGGCGGAAAAGGGGAGAAAGACGGAGAGCACGAGGGACUGAAGCCAACAUUUUUUUUUGAAGGGUUAGAUAGCUGAUACAAAAUAGUUCAUAGUAUCGAAAAAUUUUAUUGUUUUUAGUUCGAUUUUAAUAUCAAAUUUUAAUGUCAUAUUUACAGUUUGAUGAGCAAUCAAUUUCACAUUUAAAUUUUUUUAGGAUCUCUAAAAUAUAAGUGGUUGGCUUUUAUUUUAAGAAUUGUGCAUUCUAAAAUUUAUUAGAUAGUUUAACAUAUUCUUUCGUCGAAUGAAAUUACUAAUUAAACAAAAUCAGUCGAUGCUCAAUUUUAUCUUCGUUUGGAAUAAAAUUAAAUUUUAAAAGAAUAAAUGACGUUUUUGGUUCCAAACUAUAAGAUGCGCGACACUUUAGUCCUUGAAUUUUAAUAUUUUACAUUUUCUUGCUCAAACUAUGAGGCACAUGACACUUUAGUCUUCAAACUUUAAUUAGUUGCAAUUUCUGGCUUGAAUUAUGACGUAUAUAAUAAUUUAAUUUUACAAAUAUAGAAAAUUAAGAAAAUAUAAAUAAACAUUCUUUAUAAUAUAUAUAUAAGAUUAUUUAAUAUAUAUUUUAUUUUUUUAAUUUUAAAAUCAAUAUAUAUNNNNNNNNNNNNNNNNNNNNNNNNNCCCCCCCCCCCCUCUCUCUCUCUCUCUCUCUCUCUCUCUCUCUCUCUCUCUCUCUCUCUAUUUUAAUUUCUCUCUCUACUCUACCCCCUCUCUCUCUCUCUUUCUCUCUCUCUCGUCUAAUGAGAUUAAGAUGAUUGAUUAGCUACCCACACACACACACACACACACCAACUAACAGAAGCACCAAUUGGGUGCCAAUUAUGAGGGAAAGGAAACCGACCAACGGAGGGGGUAAACGGCCUUUUCCAUCAUCAUCUCCAUCAUCAUCGUCGUCGACACCACCGUAUGUGUAUAUAUAUACGUACGUACAUAUCUUCAUAUGUACAUGCUAUAUAUGUAACCCCGCAUAUUAUUUUGCUGAGAGGUUGAUUAAUUGAUCACACAGAUUUUUUUUUUUUGUAUUAACUGUACUAUAUACCUAUUUGAUACAUUUGAAUUCAACUGCUGCAAUUAGAACUGUAUAAGAAGAUUCAAGCGAGCAGUUUUAGACAAAAGAUAAACUUAACUCCUUAAUAUUUUUUUAAUAUAUAUAUAUAUAUAUAUAUAUAUAUAUGAUGAUUUUUUUGAUAUAAAUUAGCAUACAAAUAUAUAUAGAGAGAGAGAGAAAGAGGGAGAGAGAGAGAGAGAGAGAGAGAGUAUGACUAUUAUAUUCUUACCGGUAUAGAGUUUUUUUGUACUCAUAAGUUAUUUUAAAAAUAAAACUUUCGAAUCAAUGAUCCACACAGUUAAAUAUGAUGUAGAGUUGUUGGAUUAGAAACACGGGGCAAAACUAACUAGAUCAAUGCGUUGAUUGAGUCAGACACUGCCUCGAGAGGCGAAUCGACUUCUGAAAUGAUCCUCAAAUGUGUCACUACUAAGUCGAGCGAUUCAGUUGAGAAGGGAUCGGCUCAACCAGACUCUUUCACUAAUUAUUUUCGAGUGAAUCGAAAUGCGAGCUCAACUAAUUAAAGAACCGAAUUAUUUAUGUUAAUUUGAAAAGGGCGAUUAAAAAAAGGGCUAAAUUACAUAAAACUUUCCUGUCAAAAUCUGAUUUUUUACUUUCCCUCCCUAUCAUGUAAAAACCUACACUUUGCCCUCUUGUAAAAUGAAAAAUAUUUACUUCGCCCCCUGCCGUUAGUAAUCUGUUAGGGUUCCAUUUAUAAAAUAUUAUUAUAUAUUUUUUUAUACCAAAACUGCCCUCAGCCUUCUCUCUUGUGAAUAUAAUCAGGGGCAAAAUGUUGAGAGGCAAAAUGGUCAUUUUGUCAUCACAGUUCACACCGUACUUUUCUGUAAACAUUUUUCAUUUUACAAGGGGGUAAAGUGUAGGUUUUUAAAUGACAUGGGGGGAAAAGUGAAAAAUCAGAUUUUGACAGAGAGGUUUUCUGUAAUUUAGCCUAAAAAAAAUGUUACAAAGAGUAAAAUCUACUCCUUAGAAAGAUCUUAGAAUUAACUAAACUCUUAGAUGGAAAAAAAAAAAAAGAAGAAUAUAUGAACUACUACUAGAAAACCGUAAAUGCCGGGAAGAAGGAAUUGAAGUUUGUUGUGGUCACUUGUUUGUGUGAUGGACCUUUAUCACAAGCGCAUUUUUUUCUGUUUAUAAUAGCGUAUUCUCCGGCCUGCAGUAAAUGGGUAAAACUUUUAAAAAAUACUUUUCAUAUUUUUUUUUAAAUUAUAUUAAAAUCUAUCAAAUAGGCAUAAAAUAAACAGCCGAUCUUAAACGACCUUGUAAAAAUAAAUAACUAGAUCCUUUAUUGAUCUUUAUCUAGAUAGUAAAUAAGAUUCUCUAUAAAAAAAAAAAAAAAAAAUCAAUCAACUCUUGAUUCUUAACUUUUUUUUUAAAAUUUUUUAAUCAAAAUUACAGGUCUUUUGGCACGUUGGUACAACCCUCUUAUUUUUCAUCACUAUAAAUAAAUAAAUAAAUAAAUAAAUAAAUUGAUGGAGCAAUUUUAAAUUGAUACAACUUUGACAUUUCCCACACCCACACACCCUAGCGUUAAGAUUUGAACAUGUAUUGUUGGACUUUGACGCAUAAAAAGGAAAAUUAUUGUAUAUGUGAUAUUUUAGUCAAAUUUGAAUUCCAAUAAGAUGGCUUUAAAUGAUGCUAAUAAACCUAAAUGGCUUUGGAUAUUGGGACAAAGAGUAAAGGCUUAAUUAUAAAAACAUACCCACAUUUAUUUACCUUUUGUCUUAAUUACCUUUCUGUAAAAAAAAAUUAGUAAAAAUGUAUAAAAAUUACUUAAAUUAUGACCAAUUUUAAUUUGACUAUCCAAUCUUUCAAAAUUUUAAUUUUACUAUCCAAAAUUUUAAUUUGUUUGAUUUGAGUAAGCCAGCGACACUUUGACUAUAAAAUUUAAGCUAAUUAUUUUAUUUAAUAAAUUUAUAGUUUGAAAAAAUUAUAUAAAAUUAAUAUACUUACUAAACCUGUAAAGAUAAACGACGCGUUCAAAUUUUGAAGUCAAAGUGAGUCGUUGGCUAGCUCAAUCAAUUGAUCCAUAGUUCUAGUAAGUUCUGUACAUUUUUGCCUAAAAAAUUUUAACGGUGUCAAUCCUUCACUUUAGUCUUGUGUCAAAUAGGUCUUUAAUAAUUUAGAGAUUCAAUUAUGUUUUAAGAAAAGUGUUAACGGUGAUGACGUGGUAAGAUUAUUUAACAUUAAGGGUGCGUUUGGUUCGCAUUUUGAAAAAUUAUUAGGAAUAAAAGAUAUCCGAGAAUCUUAUUCCUAUUCAUCCUAUUACUAAGAAUGUGGAAUUGCUGUGUUUGGUUCGCACGAUAAUAUUAAUUAGCCAUGUUAUUUAAUAUUACAAAAAAUAUACAAUUAAUUAAUUAAUUUAUUUAUUUAAUUUUAGAUAAUGUUACCAAAAGUUUCAACAUCUUUUUAGAAAAAAGGGAGAGAGAGUAUAAGUUAGAGAGAGAGAGCAUAAUUAAAAAAAUAUAAAGAAAAAUAUAGUCAAAAUUAGAGGAAGUGAGAGAGUUGAAAUUUUAGAAAGAGAGAGAGAGAGAGAAAAAGCUUAGUUUAGAGAGAAAAAAAAAAGUUGAAUUUUAAAGAGAAAAAUAAGUUUAGAGAGAUAUAAGUUAGAGUGUAAAGAAAAAUAAUAUCAAUUAGCCGGCGGGUAGGAAGAAAGAAAGAGAUUAAACAUAUUAUGAUUAUCCCAAUCCAUUAAUAUGAGGAUACCUACCCUCCCUCAAGGGAAUGAGAUUAGUACUUUGGAGUGAAUCUUAUUCCCAAGUGAAUCCAAUAUUAUCAAUUAGAUUACUUAGUGCAUUUAACCAAAUACCGUUAUAUUUUUUUUAUUCCCAUUGAAUUACUAGGAAUCUUUAAAAGAUAGCGCGAACCAAACGCACCCUAAAAGCAUUUAAAUUCACAUGUGAAUAUCUUCCUCUUAGGUUUUGAUAUUAGGAAGUGUGCUUAAAAGAGCUAAGAUGAGUUUCAAAAUGUGAUAUCUCAACAUGCAGUUGUUAAAUUAAUCAAAAAUCCUAACGGAAGGAUCUAUUUGAGAUAGAACUAGAGUGCAUGGUUGACAUUAUUAUUGUUAUUAUUAUUAUCCUAAGAAAAAUGUAGUAUACUAUUCGUUUUAUUUUUUUUUUUUAGAAAUAAAUUUAGCUAAAAACAUAAACUAACUAGAACUUAGCUGAAAAGGCGUAAUGUUAUUUGAGUGGUGUUUGAAUAUAGCAUUCAUACAUUACGCUUUUUCGUCAGGUCGCACGUCCAUGACCGGUAUGAAAAGUAAGAUGUAUAAGAGAAAAUUGACCAAUCUGAUCAAGUGGUAGAUUAUUGUCAUAUGAUAUUUUAUUCCUUUCCACAUAAGAUGUUGAUUAUUGUUUAUCAUAAUAAGAUAAGAAUACGAAUGAAUUAUAUGUUUAUUAUUAACUAAGAAACAUAUCACCUAAUAUUUUGAAAUUCAAAUCGCAUGUGAAUAGAGUUAAAACAUAACCGGCCAAUAUGGAUAUACCACAUGGCAACACUACCUAUACGACGAAAGCUGGGGUGAGCCGAGUCACAAUCGAGAACCAUGAGUUAAUUUGUGUUUGUAUAUUUUAAGUACAUCAGUCGUCUCCUUUUUAUUAAUUUGAACUUUGGAAAUUCUUGUUAGUACCCAACGAUCUAACAAAGCGAUAUUACAGUAGCACUCCUUUUCUCAUCGUUUGGUCCGAAAAUAAACUGUUCUUUCUUAUUCUUGAUAUAGGUACAAUUCUUGAAAUAAGCAAGAAUAAGAUCAAUUUUGUAUUUGGAUGAAAAUUAAAUUAUUUCUAAAAAUUUUAAAAAAAUAGUAUUUGAAUAAUAUUUGGAUAUAAAGGGAAAAAUAAGAGUUUAUUUUCUCUCUUAUGUCCGAAUCAAACGGUGACUUUAUUCAAAAUAAUGUAAUAGCAAAAUGUUGACAUUUUUGCUUUUAAGCUAUUACCAUCUUAUUUUUAUGGGCCAUCUUGGUGGACACAAAUUACAAUGUCCAAGCUGUAGUCCUCUGUUUUAGAGGAAAGUCUACUGCAUAGCAUUUACAUCACAUACUACAAUAGAAUUAGGUUAUAGAAAUAUAUUUCUGAAAUAUUUUAAUAUAAAUGUUCCAUUUAUGUCAAAAUUUUUAAAAAAAUCUACUAAGGCGUAAAUAUAAAGUUCGAUCCAACUAAAAAUAAAAAGUUUCUCUACUCAACUAACCCCAUCCAGCUCACUUGACUCGAUUAUAAAUAGAAAAGAAAAAAUAAAAAAAAAUUUGAUCACCAUCUCCUCUUCUCCUCCUCCGCCGUCGCAACCGACGAGGUAGACGCGAGGAUCUCGUAGGAACCGUAGAGAACUACGAUCGCCACGUGUCCCUUCGCCAUAUGCCGCUGGAGGAAUGAGUACCAAACAUCGAGGCGGCCCCACAUAUAGCGACCUUACAUAUAGCAACACUUUUAAAAAGCGUCGGUAAUUUAGCCAGCAGUAAUUUUUUUUGACCUUUUCCGAUAUUUAAAAGUGUCGCUAUAUGCCCUUUUUGUUAUAGUGACAUCAUUUAUCCCCAACUAAUUAUUUUUUUUAUUUUGAAAGAAAAGUACAAUAAAAAUAAUUUUCUAAAUAUGAUGAUGGAAUGGGUGAGUUUCAAAAGAGCUUUUUUUUAUUGAUUGAAGACAACAUAUCAGCAAUAUAAAUAUUGUAUUCUAAAAUUUUUCCUAUUUUAGAGGACAUCCUAAAGCUUCUGCAUUGGUUUCAUCAGAAAAAAAAAAAAAAAAAAAAAAAAAAAAAAAAAAAAGAAAAAAAAAAAAAAAAAACCUUUGGGAUAACAUUUUUGAUAAUGUAAAAUAUUUGUGAGGUCACUCCAUGCAUGCCACUUCUUAAGUAUAAGAAAUGCAAUUCAAUGCGAAGUUCUCNAGAAAAAAAAAAAAAAAAAAAAAAAAAAAAAAAUCCCAAGGACUCUAGUUGGUUGGAUAAAAGAAUAUGGUAAAAGUAGAAAUGUCAACAGAUCGAAUUCAAAAAAGAGUUUAAAAAAUUUGAUCCGAACCUGAUUAUCAAAUUUGGAAUCCAAAUCCGACAGAUUCUAAAAAUUCAUAUCCAAAUCCGAAUUCGACCAAAAAUCCAAAACUCAAACCGAACCCGAAAACUCCAAGUUGAAACAAUUAUUUCUUUUUACCUAUUUCAAAACAUUUUACAUCAAAUCUAAAUUUCUAAAAUAAUCAAAAAUAACAUCAAAUAUUUGUAUAUAUUAUAUAAUGCAAAAUUAAUUCGAGUUCAGGUCCUGUUCGAGUUCGGCAUCGGGUCGGUUAUAGACAAAAUUCAUAUCCAAAUCCAAAUCCGUCGGAUUUUCAUUUUUUAUACCCAUAUCCGAAACUUAUCCAUUUAGUAUCGGAUAAAUCCGCUCCGUUCGAAUUCAGAGUCCAAUAAAAUUUCAUAUAUCCGUACCCAUUGACGUCCCAAGCUGUACGGAGACCUUCUUAACUAUAGGGCAUUCAAAAAUAGGUCCCUCAGAUUUUAUUUUUUAAUCCAUAUUUUUUAAACUUUUUUAAAAAAACUUGAAUAUCUUUACGCCGUUAAACGAGAAAACGCUUCAUAUCGACCAUUAAAAUUACAAAUUUUGAAACCCUUUGAUCAUUAAGCAAAUGAUGUCGAAAAGAAUUGAAAUUUGAUUUCUAAACACUUCAAGUGGUAUAAAUCAUGUUCAACGGUGCCGAUCGUCGAUUUGGAGGCUCCAUCAUCGAAAACAAAUGGGUGGCAAAAGAGUCAGUUUGUUAUCGAUAGUAUUCUAGCUCAACUCUCUCUCUCUCUCUCUCUCUCUCUCUCUCUCUCUCUCUCUAUAUAUAUAUAUAUAUAUAUUAAUUUAUAUUUUUAAAUUAAAUAUAUUCAAAAUUAUAUUUAUGACUAUAAUAUAUAAUAAUAUAUAUUUAGGACUAUAUAAUAUAUAUUUAAUAUUAAAUAAUAUAUAUACACACAUUUAGAAAAUAAAAUAUUAUGUAAUAAGAAUUGAGCUCUUAUGCUUUUAACAGUACUAUAAGUUAUUGGUACUUGUAAGUUUUCGGUACUUGGAUUAAGGAAUAUGUAGCUAGGAUGAUAGCGAUCGUCUAAAGUUGAGUGAGUGAUUAGUUGAAUAGUAUGAUCUAACGGAUAAAAAGGUCAGAUAGAUAGAUAUAACGGCAGAAAACUUACAAAUAUCAAAUAUUUUAUACUUUUACACGUGUCAUAACCGGACUCAUAUAAUAAUAUAUAUAUUAAUGUAAAGAGAGAGACAUCGACAAAGAGAUAUAUAGAUCGAUACAUACCUCUCUCACGUGGUCCACGAGGUCCCACGUACGUCACCUCGCGGAUCGCGUGUGAGCAACUUCCAUGAGCCCUCAUUCCCCCUCGGGAGUUUUUGUUUUCCGCGUUUUCUGCGGUAAAGAAAGCGAAAACGAAAGCUUCAAUUUUUUUCCAAUCCCGUAAAGUAUUUUUACGAAAAAUUAUUUAUUAACGUCGAACCAAAUAAAUAAAAAAACUAAUUUUCAAAUCGAAAAUAGUUUUCAGCUUUGUUUUACAUCUAACGAAACACAUCCUAAGUGCGAAUUAGUAAGAAAACUAACAUCGCUAAGGAUACAUUUAGUUCCACGUAAAAUUGUUAAAAAAAGAAAAAAAUCGGGGAAAAACUAUUUUUGGUGGAAAAAUAAUUUUUUCAUUCGAUGUGUUAGGAUGGUAUGAAAAGGAAAAUAAUUUUGUAAUAAAGUUGUUUGGUUUGGCGGAAAAGGAAACAAAAUAUUUUUUUUUAUUUUUUGUUGUUAAUAUAUAUUUACUAUUUAAUAUUAGACAAUAUAUUUAAUGUAAUAGAUGCUAAUUAAAAUUACACAAUUUAAUUUUUUAAUUAUAUUAAAUAUAGUAACAAAUUAUAUAAGUUAAUAUAUAUAGAGAGAGAAACACACACCUAUUAAUAGUAUAGAUCAAGUCUAACGGAGCCAAUCGUCGAUUUGGAAGCCGCAUCAUUAAAAACAACUUGGUAGCACGGAGGCCUCCGUGCUACCGAUAAUAUACCAGCCUAGCUCUAUAUAUAUAUGUGAGACCUCAGAUAGUCCUAUAUAUGAGAUAUAAUAGGGCUAAACUCUUAACCCGGCUUAAGCAUUUUGGAUAGUGGCAAGGCCCAAGAGGUUAAGAGAGUUAAGCGUGCUAGGACGGGAGUAGUCCUAGGAUGGGUGACCCCUGGGAAGUUGGGGCGUCACAUAUGGUAUUAGAGCCAAUUACCAGCCGGAAGUGUGAGAUGAGUCUCAGCUGAGCCAGGGUAUGGAUGAUGGGCUAGCGAGAUAAGUCUCACAUCGCCUGGUACUUGUGAGUCUGAGCCUGACGAGGACGUCAGGGCUUAAAGAAGGGGAGAUUGUGAGACCUCAGAUAGUUCUAUAUAUGAGAUAUAA